RNAcentral lists this long non-coding RNA (259 nucleotides) under Phoenix dactylifera (date palm). Its description in RNAcentral is "long non-coding RNA (PDAC_LNC009987)". The record is from RNAcentral. Lineage: Eukaryota; Viridiplantae; Streptophyta; Magnoliopsida; Arecales; Arecaceae.
AUUAUUUUCAUAAGAACAUAUCAAGCAUAUCAUGUAUAAUUGAAAAAUAUGAAAGAUAUGCAAUAGCUCAUUUUCUAUUUUUCAGAAGAUCAAAAAGAGUUUUCAUCAAAAAUAGAUCUAAUAGAGACCAUAUGUAUGACAAGUAGUGAUGAUAGCUUUUAACAAAAAUCAUUUAAGUAGAUGACUAUCAUACAACAUUGUCUUUUUCAUUUCUUCAAGGAUUCUAUUAACCCUAUUGUACUUAUGGUGUUCUUGGUGC